RNAcentral lists this ribosomal RNA (433 nucleotides) under uncultured bacterium. RNAcentral describes it as "partial 16S ribosomal RNA". It matches the Rfam family "Bacterial small subunit ribosomal RNA", at positions 29 to 507 of the family's 1533-position model. The record is from RNAcentral.
AACGAACGCUGGCGGCAGGCCUAACACAUGCAAGUCGAGCGAGCAUUUCGGUGCUAGCGGCGGACGGGUGAGUAACGCGUGGGAACGUGCCCUUUUCUGCGGAAUAGUCCUGGGAAACUGGGGGUAAUACCGCAUACGCCCUUUUGGGGAAAGAUUUAUCGGAGAAGGAUCGGCCCGCGUUGGAUUAGGUAGUUGGUGGGGUAAUGGCCCACCAAGCCGACGAUCCAUAGCUGGGUGGAGAGGAUGAUCAGCCACACUGGGACUGAGACACGGCCCAGACUCCUACGGGAAGCAGCAGUGGGGAAUCUUAGAAAAUGGGGGCAACCCUGAUCUAGCCAGGCCGCGUGAGUGAUGAAGGCCUUAGGGUUGUAAAGCUCUUUCAGCUGGGAAGAUAAUGACGGUACCAGCAGAAGAAGCCCCGGCUAACUCCGUG